This 300-nucleotide ribosomal RNA is filed under the name uncultured Thalassomonas sp. RNAcentral describes it as "bacterial SSU rRNA". It matches the Rfam family "Bacterial small subunit ribosomal RNA", at positions 116 to 420 of the family's 1533-position model. Lineage: Bacteria; Pseudomonadati; Pseudomonadota; Gammaproteobacteria; Alteromonadales; Colwelliaceae. The record is from RNAcentral.
CUUGGGAACAUGCCUUGAGGUGGGGACAACAGUUGGAAACGACUGCUAAUACCGCAUAAUGUCUUCGGACCAAAGGAGGGGAUCUUCGGACCUUUCGCCUUUAGAGUGGCCCAAGUGAGAUUAGCUAGUUGGUGGGGUAAAGGCUCACCAAGGCGACGAUCUCUAGCUGGUUUGAGAGGAUGAUCAGCCACACUGGGACUGAGACACGGCCCAGACUCCUACGGGAGGCAGCAGUGGGGAAUAUUGCACAAUGGGGGAAACCCUGAUGCAGCCAUGCCGCGUGUGUGAAGAAGGCCUUCG